ACAGGGAUUGCCCUAGUAACGGCGAGUGAAGCGGCAACAGCUCAAAUUUGAAAUCUGGCUCUUUUAGAGUCCGAGUUGUAAUUUGCAGAGGGCGCUUUGGCUUUGGCAGCGGUCCAAGUUCCUUGGAACAGGACGUCACAGAGGGUGAGAAUCCCGUACGUGGUCGCUGGCUAUUGCCGUGUAAAGCCCCUUCGACGAGUCGAGUUGUUUGGGAAUGCAGCUCUAAAUGGGAGGUACAUUUCUUCUAAAGCUAAAUAUUGGCCAGAGACCGAUAGCGCACAAGUAGAGUGAUCGAAAGAUGAAAAGCACUUUGGAAAGAGAGUCAAACAGCACGUGAAAUUGUUGAAAGGGAAGCGCUUGCAGCCAGACUUGCUUGCAGUUGCUCAUCCGGGCUUUUGCCCGGUGCACUCUUCUGUAGGCAGGCCAGCAUCAGUUUGGGCGGUAGGAUAAAGGUCUCUGUCACGUACCUCUCUUCGGGGAGGCCUUAUAGGGGAGACGACAUACUACCAGCCUGGACUGAGGUCCGCGCAUCUGCUAGGAUGCUGGCGUAAUGGCUGUAAGCGGCCCGUCUUGAAACACGGACCAAGGAGUCUAACAUCUAUGCGAGUGUUUGGGUGUCAAGCCCGAGCGCGGAAUGAAAGUGAACGGAGGUGGGAACCCGCAAGGGUGCACCAUCGACCGAUCCUGAUGUCUUCGGAAGGAUUUGAGUAAGAGCAUGGCUGUUGGGACCCGAAAGAUGGUGAACUAUGCUUGAAUAGGGUGAAGCCAGAGGAAACUCUGGUGGAGGCUCGCAGCGGUUCUGACGUGCAAAUCGAUCGUCAAAUUUGGGCAUAGGGGCGAAAGACUAAU
RNAcentral lists this ribosomal RNA (849 nucleotides) under Alternaria eureka. RNAcentral describes it as "eukaryotic LSU rRNA". It matches the Rfam family "Eukaryotic large subunit ribosomal RNA", at positions 68 to 935 of the family's 3401-position model. Lineage: Eukaryota; Fungi; Ascomycota; Dothideomycetes; Pleosporales; Pleosporaceae. The record is from RNAcentral.